RNAcentral lists this ribosomal RNA (253 nucleotides) under uncultured bacterium. RNAcentral describes it as "partial 16S ribosomal RNA". It matches the Rfam family "Bacterial small subunit ribosomal RNA", at positions 524 to 776 of the family's 1533-position model. The record is from RNAcentral.
UACAGAGGGUGCAAGCGUUGUUCGGAAUUACUGGGCGUAAAGCGCGUGUAGGCGGCGUCGUUAGUCGGAUGUGAAAGCCCUCGGCUCAACCGAGGAAGUGCAUCCGAUACUGCGAUGCUUGAGUGUUGGAGGGGGUGGCGGAAUUCCCGGUGUAGAGGUGAAAUUCGUAGAUAUCGGGAGGAACACCUGUGGCGAAGGCGGCCACCUGGACAACAAUUGACGCUGAGACGCGAAAGCGUGGGUAGCAAACAGG